UGACGAGUGCUACCAUGCAGUCGACGGUGAACACGGAGCUUGCUCUGUGGGAUCAGUGGCGAACGGGUGAGUAACACGUGAGCAACCUGCCCCUGACUCUGGGAUAAGCGCUGGAAACGGCGUCUAAUACUGGAUAUGUGACGUGACCGCAUGGUCUGCGUUUGGAAAGAUUUUUCGGUUGGGGAUGGGCUCGCGGCCUAUCAGCUUGUUGGUGAGGUAAUGGCUCACCAAGGCGUCGACGGGUAGCCGGCCUGAGAGGGUGACCGGCCACACUGGGACUGAGACACGGCCCAGACUCCUACGGGAGGCAGCAGUGGGGAAUAUUGCACAAUGGGCGAAAGCCUGAUGCAGCAACGCCGCGUGAGGGAUGACGGCCUUCGGGUUGUAAACCUCUUUUAGCAGGGAAGAAGCGAAAGUGACGGUACCUGCAGAAAAAGCGCCGGCUAACUACGUGCCAGCAGCCGCGGUAAUACGUAGGGCGCAAGCGUUAUCCGGAAUUAUUGGGCGUAAAGAGCUCGUAGGCGGUUUGUCGCGUCUGCUGUGAAAUCCCGAGGCUCAACCUCGGGCCUGCAGUGGGUACGGGCAGACUAGAGUGCGGUAGGGGAGAUUGGAAUUCCUGGUGUAGCGGUGGAAUGCGCAGAUAUCAGGAGGAACACCGAUGGCGAAGGCAGAUCUCUGGGCCGUAACUGACGCUGAGGAGCGAAAGGGUGGGGAGCAAACAGGCUUAGAUACCCUGGUAGUCCACCCCGUAACGUUGGGAACUAGUUGUGGGGUCCAUUCCACGGAUUCCGUGACGCAGCUAACGCAUUAAGUUCCCCGCCUGGGGAGUACGGCCGCAAGGCUAAAACUCAAAGGAAUUGACGGGGACCCGCACAAGCGGCGGAGCAUGCGGAUUAAUUCGAUGCAACGCGAAGAACCUUACCAAAGGCUUGACAUAUACGAGAACGGGCCAGAAAUGGUCAACUCUUUGGACACUCGUAAACAGGUGGUGCAUGGGUUGUCGUCAGCUCGUGUCGUGAGAUGUUGGGUUAAGUCCCGCAACGAGCGCAACCCUCGUUCUAUGUUGCCAGCACGUAAUGGUGGGAACUCAUGGGAAACUGCGGGGUCAACUCGAGGAAGUGGGGGAUGACGUCAAAUCAUCAUGCCCCUUAUGUUCUGGGCUUCACGCAUGCUACAAUGNCCGGGUACAAGGCUGCAAUUA
Molecule: ribosomal RNA, 1201 nt
Filed under: Alphaproteobacteria bacterium
Lineage: Bacteria; Pseudomonadati; Pseudomonadota; Alphaproteobacteria
Description: bacterial SSU rRNA
Rfam family: Bacterial small subunit ribosomal RNA
Source: RNAcentral